RNAcentral lists this ribosomal RNA (575 nucleotides) under uncultured bacterium. Its description in RNAcentral is "partial 16S ribosomal RNA". It matches the Rfam family "Bacterial small subunit ribosomal RNA", at positions 355 to 914 of the family's 1533-position model. The record is from RNAcentral.
UGGGGAAUUUUGGACAAUGGGCGAAAGCCUGAUCCAGCAAUGCCGCGUGUGUGAAGAAGGCCUUCGGGUUGUAAAGCACUUUUGUCCGGAAAGAAAUCCUUGGCUCUAAUACAGUCGGGGGAUGACGGUACCGGAAGAAUAAGCACCGGCUAACUACGUGCCAGCAGCCGCGGUAAUACGUAGGGUGCAAGCGUUAAUCGGAAUUACUGGGCGUAAAGCGUGCGCAGGCGGUUUGCUAAGACCGAUGUGAAAUCCCCGGGCUCAACCUGGGAACUGCAUUGGUGACUGGCAGGCUAGAGUAUGGCAGAGGGGGGUAGAAUUCCACGUGUAGCAGUGAAAUGCGUAGAGAUGUGGAGGAAUACCGAUGGCGAAGGCAGCCCCCUGGGCCAAUACUGACGCUCAUGCACGAAAAGCGUGGGGAGCAAAACGGGAUUAGAUACCCUGGUAGUCCACGCCCUAAACGAUGUCAACUAGUUGUUGGGGAUUCAUUUUCCUUAGUAACGUAGCUAACGCGUGAAGUUGACCGCCUGGGGGAGUACGGUCGCAAAGAUUAAAAACUUAAAAGGGAAUUUGAC